UGGGGAAUAUUGCACAAUGGGCGCAAGCCUGAUGCAGCCAUGCCGCGUGUGUGAAGAAGGCCUUCGGGUUGUAAAGCACUUUCAGCGAGGAGGAAGGUGGUGAACUUAAUACGUUCAUCAAUUGACGUUACUCGCAGAAGAAGCACCGGCUAACUCCGUGCCAGCAGCCGCGGUAAUACGGAGGGUGCAAGCGUUAAUCGGAAUUACUGGGCGUAAAGCGCACGCAGGCGGUUUGUUAAGUCAGAUGUGAAAUCCCCGGGCUCAACCUGGGAACUGCAUUUGAAACUGGCAAGCUAGAGUCUCGUAGAGGGGGGUAGAAUUCCAGGUGUAGCGGUGAAAUGCGUAGAGAUCUGGAGGAAUACCGGUGGCGAAGGCGGCCCCCCUGGACGAAGACUGACGCUCAGGUGCGAAAGCGUGGGGCAGCAAACAGGAUUAGAUACCCCUGGUAGUCCACGCUGUAAACGAUGUCGAUUUUGGAGGUUGUGCCCUUGAGGCGUGGCUUCCGGAGCUAACG
RNAcentral lists this ribosomal RNA (514 nucleotides) under uncultured bacterium. RNAcentral's name for it is "partial 16S ribosomal RNA". It matches the Rfam family "Bacterial small subunit ribosomal RNA", at positions 355 to 857 of the family's 1533-position model. The record is from RNAcentral.